GUUCUUCCUAACAUCCAACCUAAAACUCCCCUGGUGCAACUUUAGCCCAUUCCCCCUCAUCCUGUCACCAGGCACGUGGGAGAACAGACCAACCCCCACCUCGCUAUAGUACCAAUUGAGUAGUAUGUGCAAUAUUAUGCAGUGCUAAACGUUAUACAUGCUUCUACAUCAAUAGCAGAAGCCUAAAAAAUAGGUCAAAAAAAUGCAAUAAUUAGCAUCUGUGGCAAAUCUAAUAGAAAUCUCUGAGACUGGUUAUGCAGAGGUAAGGAGCAGGUUACUAUGUUGCUUGGACAUCAAUUUUGUAGGAAGUACAAAUAGGAUGUUUGAGGUGUGGGAGAGGUGCAGAGCAGGAAGGAUAAUGCAAAAAUCAAAUACAAUAUAAUAUUGUUGGGAAAGAAGAUCACUGAGGAAUCUGUGUGGGUUAAAUCUAUCACUUUACUAUUAAGAAGUUAGCAAUAAAAAUGUAUUGCAAGGCCACCUCCCAUCUGAUCAGGACAAAAUAAGUGAAACUGAAGCAGCUGCAAAGUUAGGACAAGUCAAAAUAUAGUAGCUUUAACUACCUAGCUAUAGUGUAGUGCAUCUCAUCAUUAUGAGAUGUAGAAACAAAACUUUAUAAUGCAACGAACAUCUCCUUUCUCCAUCAGCUUGUCUCAGAACACAUAAAAAACAAACAAACAAAAACCAGACAUUAUCCUAAACUCAGUCUUACUCAGUGUUGAGUGGUACACAGGACCUCACUCAAGUUUUACUGUUGGUGAGCCACUCUGUAACAAUGAUCUCAAUACAAUUGAAAUUAAUGUUAGUAUCAUGAGGGAAAAAAACAAAUAAAUUCAAAAGCCAAAUAUUCAGUUUCAAGAAAGAGCAAUGAAAAAGAAAAAUAUAGAUAGUUAAAAUAAAUAAAUAAAUAAAUUAAAAAAAUCAACCAGCCAGUCAAAUAGUCAUAUAAAGAAUAGUUCAACAAACAAGAGCCUGGAGUAUGUAUUACAAGCCCAGUUAAACUGUGUACUGCAAUUCCAGGAGAAAAUGAAGCCAUCAAAUGAAAUUUCUUCAAAGCUCAAGGGGAAAACUAUCACAGCAAAUGAAGGCAAAUGGAAAAUGAUACUAUCGUAGGCAAAAAAACAGCAGUUUAAAAAUGGUAGGUCUACACAAAGAAUUAGAAAGCAAAGCCUGUAAUACAUGACAAAUAGGAAAAAAUAAAAUAAAAUAAAAUAAAAUAAAAUAAAAUAAAAUAAAAUAAAAUAAAAUAAAAUAAAAUAAAAUAAAAUAAAAUAAAAUAAAAUAAGAGAGGGAUAAGAGAAUUUGAAGGGUACCUUAUAAAGACGUAGCCUACUGCACCAGACAAAUGGUUGUUUAGCAAUCCCAGCCUCCAAGAAAGGUCUACAUGGUGCCCCUGUGACAUCCGGGAAACUACAAUCUGGUGAAUCUUCUCUCCAUCCCUGAAAAAAACAGAGAGUCUACGAUAAAUUUAGCAUCACUGAAUAUAUGAAUUUUGAGGGUUUGUUAUGAAGGUUCUUGUAAGGGUAAAGCCUGUCUAGCUGUUCUGGUGAGGUUCUUGUCAUUCUAGUUUACUGAGUGUGUUGGUUAACAUAACUCAAUCCCCUUUGUCCAAACUAAUCCAAAUCCUAAUACAUUUUGUUUUUUUAUUUUUAGUUUUUAAAGCUACUGACAGUUUUCAACUAAAGGCCCUUGAGAAAAGUAAGCUGCUUUAGUGUUCAAUAAAAGGUUCUUUUAGGGGCCACUAUCAGUACUGGGGCCAGUUUUAUUCAAGAUCUUCAUCAGUAACCUGGAAAAGGGAGUGAAUUGUGAAAUCUCCAAUUUCACAGUUGGUAGUAUGUUAUAUUGGGUAGUCAAAUGUCACACUGGUGGUAAGGAUCAUCAAAAUUACCUCAGUGAGUAAGCAUGAAAAUAAAAUGGUAGAUAAGCUUCAGAGGAGGUAACUGUAAAGCAGGAAAAAUAAUCCAAAUCAUGUUUACAUGAUAUUGCCUUAGAAGGAGACACUAAGGGGGUUGGAACUUUUCAGCUUAGAGGGAAGAAAAGAGUAGGAACAAAGUCUGCAAAAUGUAGAAGGUGAUGAAUGAGGUAUAUGAAGAACUUUUAUUCACCAAACACCACAGUACAAAAAUGAGUGAGCAGUUACUGAAAUCACUGGAAGGGAAGUUUAAAAUAGGUAAUAGAAAGCACCCUUUUACUCAGUGGGUAGAGUAUUUCUGGAAUUUCUUGCAACAGGAGGUUAUGGAGACAAUAUCAGCAGGACCAUAAAUUAACUAAGGAAAGUCAUGGAAAUCAGGUCUAGAGACAAACUAUAAAAGCAAAGGCAAGGACAUGCUCUUUAACAUCACUAACACAGAGAUUUUGGAUGCUGGAAGUCUCUAAGGGAAGGGACUGCAGCUGAUCACCACUGCUCUCCUAAAAUAGCACCUAUGAUUGCCUCUGUUAGAGAAGAAUAUAGGUCUGGGUGGGCUAAUGGUCUGACCCUGUAUGGGAUUUCUUCUGUCCUUACAUUUUGUAAGUUUACCCUAGUGUGAAGUGAAUAUUUAUUUCAAAAAAAUGUUCUUUUAAGAUUUGUUCCCCUUCUUUCCAAUUACCACUUAAAAUGCUCACUGUUAGAACCUAAGCCAAGAAUAGAGAUUAUUGCUACAUAAACAAAAUUAAAGAGAACUGGAAUUUAUCUGAAAAGCAGUAGAAUGGAAUGGGAAGGAAGGAAGAAAGCAACACCUCCCUUCCUACCUAUUUUGGGAACAGCAGUCAUGCUUUGCUGCUAUUUGAUCAUGCUGUAAAUAUCUGUGCUAUUUUACACCAUGUUCUCAAUAGACUUAGUAAAUGGCCUACACAGCUAGAGUACCUUUACUCAUUAACUAUCCUCACCUCCUGCCAACAGGUCUCCUUCUAACCUCUACUUUUUAUUGUGGGGAAUCACAUUAUGAGAGCCACUUCAUUGUGGCUGAUCAGUGUAGAUAGGUUUUAGCAGUUCAUUGUUCAGUUGCUUCUACAGCAGGAAUAAUAGCAAAGCAAAGACCUAGAAAUGCAAGAAGGCCCACCACCAGCCACCUCAAGUAUAUCUUGAGCAAGGAUCAAAAAUAUUUCAAACCUAAUCAGUCAGUUUAAAAGGUCAAGAGAUUUUUAUUGAAAUCAAAUAUGCUGGUGCUUAUAAUGUGCCAUUGGGGUUUUUGCAUUCAGUCAGGUUGAGUCUUUAAGCUUCUUUUCUACAAUCCUCUAGCAUUACACACUUCCUUUUUAAGGCAAAUGAAGCUUUUCACUGUUCCAGGAAGUAGACCUAUAAGGAUCGUGACAAAUACCUUACGACAUGGCAACAAAGGGAGCUGCCAUAUGCCACCUUAAAUGAGUAAGAAUUGUAUCAUAAACACCUGCUCUCAGCCAUCCAGAGGGGAACUCCAAGUUUUAAAAUAUGAUUAGCUCUGCUUAUAACCCAUCCAUAGGUGUGCAGUACAGCAGGAGGAACAGAGGAUGUAUAGCCUGCGUAUUUAGUUAGCCUCUCUCAGAGGAUAAAUAUGCUAAUAAUUUUCUCCUUGCUUUAAUAUAAACCUGCGCAGACUUACUUGCAGCCUGCACAUAUUUACAUAUGCAAACCUUUAAGCUGUGAGCUGAAUUUCUGGUUACUUUACAUGCACACAUAUGCACAGAUCCCGUGUGUUAAUAUUGCCUUUGUGGACAGUUUCCUUAAAUCUCAUGAAUCAUCUGGAUGCAUGCCAUAAGAGAAAAUAGCAGGAAAUAAGUUUUGAAGUAGGGCAGACUGGUAUGACCUUCAGCUGUACGGGUACAAUUGCCACUUUUCACAAAUAUAUUAACAAAUGAAUUGUUGCAAUUUUGCUUUCAAUUCACUGGUUUCAUAGGGAUGAUGAUGAAGUAACUCAUGAUUUAUAACCAGUAAGUCAAUUGUGACUUUUACUUUUUUGUCUAUCUGUAGAAAAACAAACAAACAAACAAAAAAAAACAAAACUACAAAAAAAAACAAAAAAAAAAAACAAAAAACAAAAAACAAAACAACAGAAGAGGAUUUAAACAAACACACUUAUUUCUUAAACCAACAUCCUUUCCCAAACGUGUUUAGACAUGCAUAAAAUCUCCCACAUGGUAUGGCCUAGACAAUUAUUUACUACCUUUUGUGCCUUUAAUUGCACACAAUCUGCAGAUUAAAGAGAAGAAUGUUUUCCAGAAGGGUACCUUGUUAUUCCAUGGUGACUGUCAUUUGUGUGAAAUGUAAAGUUCCCAGAAUAAAUAAAAAACUAACUCCAAUAUCAACAGUGCUUGCUCUUAACAAUGGGUUCAGAGGGACAAAACAAUAAAUGGUAUUUACACAAAUUGUUUUCAGGAACAAGUGGAAGAAUUUGAACUACAUAAUUUUUCAUUCAGAUGAUAAAAAUAAAAAGAUGUAAGGUGUUAUUUUCUUUUGUCUUCUAUUUGGACAUUAAUGGGUUGUUCCAAUGUGAAACAGUUAAAGACGGGAAAAGAAUUAUAUACUUUUUGUCUUCACACCCUGUAAAACAGAAGUUGCAGUAAUACAUGGAUUUAAUAUAAAAAUAUUCAUUGAAUGUUCAUUGCAAACCUUGGUACUUGAUAAGUACUUGUAUAGACUGGACUUACAGGUGUGCAAUCUCAAAAGAAGGUAGUGUUACUUAUUAGAUUUGCUCCAGUAUUGCCCCUCAUGCUUUGAAUAUUCUUUCAGUUUUGAUUAUUAAGAAUAGCCAAUAAACUCUUUUAUCUUGUAUGACAUUACCUCAGACUUAUCAUUUUCUCAUUCACAUUUUCAGAUGAGUUCUGUCUGUCAGAAAUGUUGUAUUGUCUUAAGAGAAGAGGUGCACAAGAAGAAAGAGAAAUAAGAACAUUUAAGCAUAUCUAAGUUAUCAUGUAAUUAGAUUUAGAAUAAUUCACAGGAAAAAAAAAAAUCUUGAUACUUUUCAAUUGCUAUCAUAGAAGAUGACUUCCAUUCUGGGCUAUCUUCCUGGAAAUCUCCCAGCAGAAAUGUUUUAAAGGUACUGCAAAAAUAGAAGGAAGCAGCACUGUCUUAUCUUGCAUGAGUCAGCCUUUUACAGAUUAUACCUUCCAGCUGCAAAAAGUUACAAGUUUAAUUUUAUGCACUUCUGGGUGAAACAUAUUGACUUGAAAGCACUGAUCCUGAAGAGAGGUGAAUACGGCUCCAUGGGAUGCAGGGCAACCCUCUGCACGGAACUCAAUCAGGUCCAAGUCCUGCAGAAAAUGAAGCUUCUGGAUGCCAUUGCUGUAUUGUACGUCAUCUCCUCCAAUUUUGGAUACUUGUGUCAGCUCAUUAGAGCCUUUCUGCUGCUCACAUUUUGCCUCAAGCAUGUAUGUGUGCCUCGUCUGAUAUUUUUUGCUUUUCUAUAAUAAAAUCUAGGCAAAAAUUUGCCCUGUGUCAUUAAGCUUGUUCUUAGAUAUUGAUCAUAUUGUGUAUUUGCCCUGAUAAAUAUCAGAACAUAUAUAUGUAUGAACUGAUUUUCUAUUUGAUGUGAAAAGAUAUUAGAUAUAAUUAAAAAUAAUGACAAAAAAAAAAUCCUGUAACUGGGGAAAGGAUUUAGAAUUUUGU
Molecule: non-coding RNA, 5560 nt
Organism: Anas platyrhynchos (mallard)
Lineage: Eukaryota; Metazoa; Chordata; Aves; Anseriformes; Anatidae
Source: RefSeq, a predicted model, not a curated record